RNAcentral lists this signal recognition particle RNA (298 nucleotides) under Saimiri boliviensis boliviensis (Bolivian squirrel monkey). RNAcentral's name for it is "Metazoan signal recognition particle RNA (ENSSBOG00000001348.1)". It matches the Rfam family "Metazoan signal recognition particle RNA". From Rfam's summary of the family: The signal recognition particle (SRP) is a universally conserved ribonucleoprotein. It is involved in the co-translational targeting of proteins to membranes. The eukaryotic SRP consists of a 300-nucleotide 7S RNA and six proteins: SRPs 72, 68, 54, 19, 14, and 9. Lineage: Eukaryota; Metazoa; Chordata; Mammalia; Primates; Cebidae. The record is from RNAcentral.
GCUGAGCAUGGUGGUGCAUGUCUGUAGUCCCAGCUACUUGGGAGGCUGAGGUGGAAGGAUCGCUUGAGCCCAGGAGUUCUGGACUGUAACAUGCUAUUCCAACCCAGUGUCGCACUAAGUUCAGCAUUAAUAUGGUGACCUCCCGGGACCGGAGGACCACAAGGUUGCCUAAGGAGGGGUGAACCGGCCCAGGUUGGAAAUGGAGCAGGUCAAAACUCCUGUGCUGAUCACUAGUGGGGUCUCACCUGUGAGUAGCCACUGCACUCCAGCCUGGGCUACAUAGUGAGACCCUGUCUNN